CCAAUAGCGUAUAUUAAAGUUGUUGCGGUUAAAAAGCUCGUAGUUGAAUUUCGGGAUUGACACAUCGGUCGUGCCUUAAGGGGUAUGAACUGGUGUAGUCAAUUUCUCACCUUCUGGAGAACCGCGAUGCCCUUAAUUGGGUGUCGCGGGGAACCAGGACCUUUACUUUGAAAAAAUUAGAGUGUUUAAAGCAGGCAUUUUGCUUGAAUACAUUAGCCUGGAAUAAUAAAAUAGGACGGCAUGAUUCUAUUUUGUUGGUUUCUAGGAUCACCGUAAUGAUUAAUAGGGAUAGUUGGGGGCAUUAGUAUUCAAUUGUCAGAGGUGAAAUUCUUGGAUUUAUUGAAGACUAACUACUGCGAAAGCAUUUGCCAAGGAUGUUUUCAUUAAUCAAGAACGAAAGUUAGGGGAUCGAAGACGAUCAGAUACCGUCGUAGUCUUAACCAUAAACUAUGCCGACUAGGAAUCAGACGAUGUUAAUUUUUUAAUGACUCGUUUGGCACCUUACG
This 506-nucleotide ribosomal RNA is filed under the name uncultured Glomeromycotina. RNAcentral describes it as "partial small subunit ribosomal RNA". It matches the Rfam family "Eukaryotic small subunit ribosomal RNA", at positions 591 to 1092 of the family's 1831-position model. The record is from RNAcentral. Lineage: Eukaryota; Fungi; Glomeromycota.